RNAcentral lists this ribosomal RNA (513 nucleotides) under uncultured bacterium. Its description in RNAcentral is "partial 16S ribosomal RNA". It matches the Rfam family "Bacterial small subunit ribosomal RNA", at positions 28 to 523 of the family's 1533-position model. The record is from RNAcentral.
GACGAAUGCUGGCGGCGUGCCUAAUACAUGCAAGUUGAGCGAUGAAGAUUGGUGCUUGCACCAAUUUGAAGAGCAGCGAACGGGUGAGUAACGCGUGGGGAAUCUGCCUUUGAGCGGGGGACAACAUUUGGAAACGAAUGCUAAUACCGCGUAACAACUUUAAACAUAAGUUUUAAGUUUGAAAGAUGCAAUUGCAUCACUCAAAGAUGAUCCCGCGUUGUAUUAGCUAGUUGGUGAGGUAAAUGCUCACCAAGGCGAUGAUAAAGAGCCGACCUGAGAGGGUGAUCGGCCACAUUGGGACUGAGACACGGCCCAAACUCCUACGGGAGGCAGCAGUAGGGAAUCUUCGGCAAUGGACGAAAGUCUGACCGAGCAACGCCGCGUGAGUGAAGAAGGUUUUCGGAUCGUAAAACUCUGUUGGUAGAGAAGAACGUUGGUGAGAGUGGAAAGCUCAUCAAGUGACGGUAACUACCCAGAAAGGGACGGCUAACUACGUGCCAGCCGCCGCAGUAA